GCGGGGUCCUUUCGCGUCCGAGCGGCGACGGGUGAGUAACACGUGAGCAACCUGCCCCUGACUCCGGGAUAAGCGGUGGAAACGCCGUCUAAUACCGGAUACGACCCUCCUCCUCAUGGUGGGGGGUGGAAAGUUUUUUCGGUCGGGGAUGGGCUCGCGGCCUAUCACCUUGUUGGUGGGGUAACGGCCUACCAAGGCAAUUACGGGUAGCCGGCCUGAAAGGGCAACCGGCCACACUGGGACUGAAACACGGCCCAAACUCCUGCGGGAGGCACCAUUGGGGAAUAUUGCGCAAUGGGCAAAAGCCUGACCCACCGACCCCCCGGGGGGGAUGACGGCCUUCGGGUUGUAAACCUCUUUUACCACUCACGCAGGCCCCGGGUUCUCCCGGGGUUGACGGUAGGUGGGGAAUAAGGACCGGCUAACUACUUGCCACCACCCCCGGUAAUACUUAGGGUCCAAGCGUUGUCCGGAAUUAUUGGGCGUAAAAAGCUCGUAGGCGGCUUGUCCCGUCUGCUGUGAAAAACCGGGGCUUAACCCCGGUUCUGCAUUGAAUACGGGCAUGCUAAAGGUAGGUAGGGAAAACUGGAAUUCCUGGUGUACCGGUGAAAUGCGCAAAUUUCAGGAGGAACACCGGUGGCAAAGGCGGGUCUCUGGGCCUUACCUGACGCUAAGGAGCGAAAGCAUGGGGAGCGAACAGGAUUAGAUACCCUGGUAGUCCAUGCCGUAAACGUUGGGCGCUAGGUGUGGGGGACUUUCCACGGUUUCCGCGCCGUAGCUAACGCAUUAAGCGCCCCGCCUGGGGAGUUACGGCCGCAAGGCUAAAACCUCAAGAUUGACGGGGGCCCGCCACAAGCGGCGGAAGCAUGUUGCUUAAUCCGACGCACGCGAAGAACUACAAGGCUUUGACUAUCACCGGUGGAAACCCUU
This 930-nucleotide ribosomal RNA is filed under the name Nocardiopsis sp. RNAcentral's name for it is "bacterial SSU rRNA". It matches the Rfam family "Bacterial small subunit ribosomal RNA", at positions 73 to 1013 of the family's 1533-position model. The record is from RNAcentral. Lineage: Bacteria; Bacillati; Actinomycetota; Actinomycetes; Streptosporangiales; Nocardiopsidaceae.